GAUGAACGCUAGCGGCAGGCUUAAUACAUGCAAGUCGUGGGGCAGCAGGGGUAGCAAUACCCGCUGGCGACCGGCAAACGGGUGAGGAACAUGUACGCAACCUUCCUUUAACUGGAGGAUAGCCCCUCGAAAGAGGGGUUAAUACUCCGCAACAUAAUGAAGUGACAUCAUUUUAUUAUUAUAGCUCCGGCGGUUAAAGA
RNAcentral lists this ribosomal RNA (200 nucleotides) under uncultured bacterium. Its description in RNAcentral is "partial 16S ribosomal RNA". It matches the Rfam family "Bacterial small subunit ribosomal RNA", at positions 28 to 225 of the family's 1533-position model. The record is from RNAcentral.